This 289-nucleotide ribosomal RNA is filed under the name uncultured Gaiellales bacterium. Its description in RNAcentral is "partial 16S ribosomal RNA". The record is from RNAcentral. Lineage: Bacteria; Bacillati; Actinomycetota; Thermoleophilia; Gaiellales.
CUACCCGGGUAUCUAAUCCUGUUCGCUCCCCACGCUUUCGCGUCUCAGCGUCAGUACCGUCCCAGAGUGCUGCCUUCGCCAUAGGUGUUCUUCCUGAUAUCUGCGCAUUUCACCGCUACACCAGGAAUUCCACACUCCUCUUCCGGACUCUAGCCACACGGUUUCCAUCGACGUCUCGAGGUUGAGCCUCGAGUUUUCACAACGGACCUGUGUGGCCGCCUACACGCUCUUUACGCCCAAUAAAUCCGGACAACGCUUGCCCCCUACGUAUUACCGCGGCUGCUGGCAC